RNAcentral lists this ribosomal RNA (253 nucleotides) under uncultured bacterium. RNAcentral's name for it is "partial 16S ribosomal RNA". It matches the Rfam family "Bacterial small subunit ribosomal RNA", at positions 524 to 776 of the family's 1533-position model. The record is from RNAcentral.
UACGGAGGUCCCGAGCGUUGUUCGGAAUUACUGGGCGUAAAGGGAGCGCAGGCGGACAGGUCAGUCUGAAGUGGAAAUCCGGGGCUCAACCUCGGACUUGCUUCGGAUACUGCUUGUCUUGAGUUCGUGAGAGGAAGAUGGAAUUCAGGGUGUAGCGGUGAAAUGCUCAGAUAUCCUGAGGAACACCGGUGGCGAAAGCGGUCUUCUGGCACGAAACUGACGCUGAGGCUCGAAAGCGUGGGGAGCAAACAGG